Molecule: transfer RNA, 73 nt
Filed under: Lobelia cardinalis
Lineage: Eukaryota; Viridiplantae; Streptophyta; Magnoliopsida; Asterales; Campanulaceae
Description: tRNA-Thr
Rfam family: tRNA
About the family: Transfer RNA (tRNA) molecules are approximately 80 nucleotides in length.
Source: RNAcentral
GCCUACUUAGCUCAGAAGGUAGAGCAUCACAUUCGUAAUGCGAUGGUCAUCGGUUCAAUUCCGAUAGUAGGCU